AAACAAGUUUUCUAGGGUUCCGCAGUCGCAAGACUGGUCUGGUCCGAGAGAAAACUCAUAGCCAAAUGGCUGUGACACGGAAGGAUAAAAGCCUGGGAGAU
RNAcentral lists this small RNA (101 nucleotides) under Paenibacillus sabinae. Its description in RNAcentral is "Guanidine-I sequence". It matches the Rfam family "Guanidine-I riboswitch aptamer". From Rfam's summary of the family: This family represents a conserved RNA structure found upstream of the ykkC and yxkD genes in Bacillus subtilis and related genes in other bacteria. The function of this family is unclear although it has been suggested that it may function to switch on efflux pumps and detoxification systems in response to harmful environmental molecules. Nelson showed that this riboswitch senses and responds to guanidine and it was renamed Guanidine-I riboswitch. The record is from RNAcentral. Lineage: Bacteria; Bacillati; Bacillota; Bacilli; Caryophanales; Paenibacillaceae.